AUUGAACGCUGGCGGCAGGCCUAACACAUGCAAGUCGAGCGAAUGAAGGGAGCUUGCUUCUGGAUUCCGCGUCGGACGGGUGAGUAAUGCCUAGGAAUCUGCCUGGUAGUGGGGGAUAACGUCCUCAAACGGGCGCUAAUACCGCCUACGUCCUGCGGGAGCAAGUUGGGGAUCUUCGGACCUCACGCUAUCAGAUGAGCCUAGGUGGGAUUAGCUAGUUGGUUGGGUAAAGGCCUACCAAGGCGACGAUCCGUAACUGGUCUGAGAGGAUGAUCAGUCACACUGGAACUGAGACACGGUCCAGACUCCUAAGGGAGGCAGCAGUGGGGAAUAAUGGACAAUGGGCGAAAGCAUGAUACAGCGAGGCCGAGUGUGUGAAGAAGGUCUUCGGAUUGUAAAGCACUUUAAGUUGGGAGAAAGGGCAGUAAGUUAAUACCUUGCUGUUCUGACGUUACCAACAGAAUAAGCACCGGCUAACUUCGUG
This 484-nucleotide ribosomal RNA is filed under the name uncultured bacterium. Its description in RNAcentral is "partial 16S ribosomal RNA". It matches the Rfam family "Bacterial small subunit ribosomal RNA", at positions 30 to 507 of the family's 1533-position model. The record is from RNAcentral.